AACCCCAGUAAUGGCCAAAGAAAUACCUUGUUAGUGGUGGUAUCCUUAUAUCAGUCAGGUGCAAAGUAAAUGACAGUUCUUUGCUCAUCCUAGUUUGAUACCUGGCUUGGUGGCCAAAGUUGUCCUAUGCCUAGGACUCAUAA
Molecule: small nucleolar RNA, 143 nt
Organism: Acomys russatus (golden spiny mouse)
Lineage: Eukaryota; Metazoa; Chordata; Mammalia; Rodentia; Muridae
Product: small nucleolar RNA SNORA48
Exons: 1
Source: RefSeq, a predicted model, not a curated record